This 587-nucleotide ribosomal RNA is filed under the name uncultured bacterium. RNAcentral's name for it is "bacterial SSU rRNA". It matches the Rfam family "Bacterial small subunit ribosomal RNA", at positions 890 to 1476 of the family's 1533-position model. The record is from RNAcentral.
CAGGUUAAAACUCAAAUGAAUUGACGGGGGCCCGCACAAGCGGUGGAGCAUGUGGUUUAAUUCGAUGCAACGCGAAGAACCUUACCUACUCUUGACAUCCAGCGAAGCCUUUAGAAAUAGAGGUGUGCCUUUGGGAGCGCUGAGACAGGUGCUGCAUGGCUGUCGUCAGCUCGUGUUGUGAAAUGUUGGGUUAAGUCCCGCAACGAGCGCAACCCUUAUCCUUGUUUGCCAGCACAUAAUGGUGGGAACUCCAGGGAGACUGCCGGUGAUAAACCGGAGGAAGGUGGGGACGACGUCAAGUCAUCAUGGCCCUUACGAGUAGGGCUACACACGUGCUACAAUGGCAGAUACAGAGGGCAGCGAGACAGCGAUGUUUAGCGAAUCCCUUAAAGUUUGUCGUAGUCCGGAUUGGAGUCUGCAACUCGACUCCAUGAAGUCGGAAUCGCUAGUAAUCGUGGAUCAGAAUGCCACGGUGAAUACGUUCCCGGGCCUUGUACACACCGCCCGUCACACCAUGGGAGUGGGCUGCACCAGAAGUAGAUAGCUUAACCUUCGGGAGGGCGUUUACCACGGUGCGGUUCAUGACU